RNAcentral lists this ribosomal RNA (497 nucleotides) under uncultured bacterium. RNAcentral describes it as "partial 16S ribosomal RNA". It matches the Rfam family "Bacterial small subunit ribosomal RNA", at positions 28 to 507 of the family's 1533-position model. The record is from RNAcentral.
GAUGAACGCUGGCGGCGUGCCUAAUACAUGCAAGUCGAGCGAACGGACGAUAAGCUUGUUUGUCGGAUGUUAGCGGCGGACGGGUGUGUAACACGUGUAUACCCUACCUAUAAGACGGGUAUAUUUUCGGGAAACCGGAGCUAAUACCGGAUAAUAUUUUGAACCGCAUGGUGGAUUAGAGAGAGUCGGUCUUGCUGUCUCUUAUAGCUGCAUCCGCGCUGGUUGAGGUAGUUGUGAAGGUAACGGGUUACCAAGGCUACGAUGCAUAGCCGACCUGAGAGAGGGAUCGGCCACACUGGAACUGAGACACGGUCAAGAGGCCUACGGGAGGCAGCAGUAGGCAAUCUUCGGCAAUGGGCGGAAGCAUGACGGAGCAACGCCGCGUGAGUGAUGGAGAUCUUCGGAUCGUGAAGAUCUGUUAUUAGGGAAGAACAUAUGUGUAAGUAACCGUGGCCAUAUUGACGGUAACUAAUAAAGAAGCACCGGCUAACUACGUG